GACGAACGCUGGCGGCGUGCCUAACACAUGCAAGUCGAACGGAACUGUUUUGAGAGAUUUCUUCGGAAUGAAUCGGAUUUAGUUUAGUGGCGGACGGGUGAGUAACGCGUGAGUAACCUGCCUUCAAGAGGGGAAUAACAUUCUGAAAAGAAUGCUAAUACCGCAUGACAUAUCGGAACCACAUGGUUUUGAUAUCAAAGAUUUUAUCGCUUGAAGAUGGACUCGCGUCCGAUUAGUUAGUUGGUGAGGUAACGGCUCACCAAGACCGCGAUCGGUAGCCGGACUGAGAGGUUGAACGGCCACAUUGGGACUGAGGCACGGCCCAGGAUCCUACGGGAGGCAGCAGUGGGGGAUAUUGCGCAAUGGGGGCAACCCUGACGCAGCAACGCCGCGUGAAGGAUGAAGGUUUUCGGAUUGUAAACUUCUUUUAUUAAGGUCGAAAAAUGACGGUACUUAAUGAAUAAGCUCCGGCUAACUACGUG
This 482-nucleotide ribosomal RNA is filed under the name uncultured bacterium. RNAcentral's name for it is "partial 16S ribosomal RNA". It matches the Rfam family "Bacterial small subunit ribosomal RNA", at positions 28 to 507 of the family's 1533-position model. The record is from RNAcentral.